UACAUGAUUUUUUAAAAUAUAUUUAUAAAAUAAUUUUUUACUUAUAUAAUUUUUAAGAAUUUCCUUCAAAUUGUUUAAAUAAAAAUAUAUUUAUCAAGCAAUAAACAACCUCAACAUGAAACCAUAUUUACCAUCCUAUGCAGAAAUGAUAUGCACCUCGCGAAUAAUCUUUAAAGAGCGUUUCGCGUGCCAUUACAUGACAGAUGUACUGUAUGUCAACAGCCACAAAAUGUCUUUCUGCUUAACCAUUUCUACCAGAAGGGGGACCAGUCCGUCUGCCGUAGACGGCGAGUGGCCGACCGCGAGCCGAGACAGAGGAGAAGCGAGGGUGAACGAGCCGACUUUGGGUUUAGAGUUCGACUCCCGAUCCGCAGACUAGCAGAUCCAGAAAUCCGCAUCUUGCCGUGAUCCCUAGGAUUUUAAUCAUGCCUCUCUGUCUGUGUGUGAGUGCAGGCAGGCUGACAAUGAUUUCCUCAGUGAUUACGUACAGAGCGAGUCCCUGCGGGGUAGGGGCCCCCUCUGGAGCCAUCCUGAUGGCUUUGGGGGCCUUGCUUCCAUUUUCCAUUAUUAUGUGGACUACCGGAGCGACAGCGCAGUCCAAGACCUUGCAGGUUUGUGAUGAGGAGGGAGCUUCCAUCUUCUCUCUGCUUCUUCAUCCUCUUUUAAAGCAAUUUAGACGUUGACUUAGAUCAGAUGCCGAACCUAUUAUAUGAUUAGCUUACCAGGCUGAGAAAAGGAAGAGUGUAUAAUAGUUUUGGGUCUGUUAGGUGGAUAUGCAGUGAAAAGUGUAUUUUUUUCUUUUUGGUUUUGUUGCAUUUUUGCCCUACUCUCACAGGACGCGUUGUUUGCUGAUGUCUUUCUCACGCGAUUGCAUUUGAGAUCAAAGACGAAAAGCAAAUAUUCCGCUUUUAUCAUAAACGAACAUCAUGCCCACACGCGACUCUGCUCCACCGGAGAAUGGAAGCGCAUGACGGAAUUACUAAAUUCUUCCACUUUUCCUGAUAACCGCUUCAACUAAAUAGAGAACUCAAACACGAUUGGGACCUAAUUGGAUUUAAUCCUAAACCAUCUACAUUCUCCCCAACACUAAACACCCUAAACUCGCGUCUACAUCCAUCGUAGGGGGCUACGGCAAAGAGCGACAUCUUUUUGUAAUGAUAAAUAGGAACGCGCGAUUCUGCUCCGGAGAUUUAAAGAGAGUACGUCUUACGAUAUUCCGAUCCCAGUGCACACGCAUUACACGAGAAACUGAGCUUGAACUUCAGCGUUUUCUAAUAGGAUGUCGCGCCGCAAGCAAGCUAAACCAAGAUCACUGAAAGAUCCCCAGUGUGCCACAGAGAGGGCUACCGCCGGCGACGACGAUGGCGAGGACGGCGGCCGUGUGAGGAAGAGGAGGCAUCUCUCUCCGGAGGAAGGGGAGGAGGGCGAAGAGGAAGACGAGGAGCCCGCGCUGCACAGCUGCGACAGCUGCCGGCAGGUGUUCGAGUCGCUGAGCGAUCUCACCGAACACAAGAUUAAUCAAUGCCAGCUGACAGGUAAACAACACUCAGCCACUCACCGGAAAAAAAAUGAAAAAACGUCAGGCCCCUCCACUCUGUGCCACGCUGCCGCCGCCGCUGCUGCUGCUGCGGCUGCACCUCACUCCCACUCUGCACUCCUCACUCCCACGCCACUGCUCCUGCAGAGCAUACGCCACACUGUGCGUCGGGUGCACACUGCACCACAGGGGAGGCUGGAGGGAGGGAGGGAGGGAGGGAGGGAGGCGGGCGGUUGGGUGAGGAUGACGGGGGCGGAGAGAGAGAGAGAGAGCAAGAGGGGAAGGCAAAGCAACAUCAGUCACCUAACCGUCUGCCUUGGAAGUCUGUCCGACUACCAUCGUAUUUAAGUGUAUAUGUAAAUGUCCACGAAUGCCACAUGCGGGUAUACAAUCUAAACGCAGGCAUGUUGGAUUGUGCCUACACACAUGCACACACCUAAACACACUCACACACAACCCAGAGCAUAAUUCUUAUUUAAGAUAUAGACUAUGUACUGUAGAUAUGUGUAUAUAUAUAUAUAUAUACAUUUGUCUCACAAGAAGGAGUGUCCCCAUGUUAACCCACCAUAAAGGGGGUGCGGUCUCUCCACCUCACCAUGAUAAAGGAAGAACACAUUACGCCCCCCACCAGUCCCACUAGUAUACAGAGUGGUACCUAGUGGGGGCGACGGAGAAGGGUGCUAUUGACCUCCUGAUGGAUGAAUGGGUCUAUAAAUACCCUGACAAGGUGGCAGACAGGACUAAUGAUGUGCACGGAAGGUUUCUGUGUGCAUGCGCCGGAUGCGCUGUCCUCCUUUUACAUGUCCUGAUGGACCCAUGUUGAGAGGCACACAGGCUGACGUGAAGUUACCAAUGUUUAGACUCACACACAGAGGCUUCUUCCUGCCUUUCUCUCCGGCGUUCUGUCUUUCCGUCUCCCUUUCUCUCUUUCGUGGUUCAUUUCUGGAUUUCUGGAUUUCUUGCUCUCGCUUUCUCUCUCGAUUUGUUUUUAAUGGUUUAUUUCUCUUUUUCUUUUUCAUUAAUUUUUUCUUUCUCUUGGUUUGUUGGUCUCUUUCUUUCUUUCUCAUACAAACACACCUGAAAUAAAACAAUUCUGUUUCUGCUUAUUUUCAGUCCCAAAAGUUCUCGUCUUAAAGCCUCACAUGAAUACUCGAUGAAAUGAACAAUAACUUAACAACUUCUCAUUCUGACUCUUUGUUUAUCCAUUCAUCCUGCUGUGUUGAAUGUCAGGGUAUGAUCCAUUUAGGCUUUUUGGGGUAAAGCAGGAAGGAAACUUUUGGUUUACCCUUGAGGUUUCCAAUAGUACAUUCAAAAUUCUCCCAAAACAAAAAGAUCUUGGUCUAGUCUUGGGUUUGUUUGGAUUCAUGCAUGGCUCUGUUUCAUUUUUUUUUACAAACCACAAUUGGCAACCCACAAAUUACAGGGUAGGAAUUGCUCUGAGAAUUCUCGUGUUUCCUUAGAAAACCCUCAAAAACAUAAUUCACGUGAAUCUUACAAAGAUUUUCCAUAAACUGAAGACUACCACAAUGACCAAAUAGUUGCAAGGCAACUCAAGUUGCAUCUUUCCCCUCACUUGUGAUUGGUAUCAAAAUACAAUACAUCCACAAUAUAACGCAUUAUAUCCUCUGCAUUCCUAUUCAACGGGCUUGUGCACAUCCUUCCACAGUUUGUAUGUGUACAUUGGUAAAUUGUACACUGUGUUGUUGGUGCUAAUCUAAGUGACCCACCCCCCUCAUACACACACUCUAUGAAAGGUGUGAAAAUCAAUUCAAUGUUCACUUUGACAUUACAUAUCCAACAGGAGCACUCCUUCCUUUGAGUUCAGCUAAGUGCAGAGCUCCUAGACACCUUUUAGUUCAAUACAUGCACCAAUGCAUCAAGACCUGUAUUGAUUCCAUGACACACCGCUUGGCAUACCAAUGAAUUCAUAACACAAAGGGUGCAAACUCCAAUACUGUUGUCUUGGAGACAAUCGUAACUAUUCUAAUCAAAACCUAUGGAUGCCUCCAUCGAUGCCUGUAUUACCUUCAGUCCCCACUUGCUGCACCAUGUAUUCCAGAGAGUAGGUGCUCCAACUUCACUGCAUAACAUGACCAGGUACAGGUCUACUCUCAAACUUUAUUCCAUCCUCAUAAUGAUCAAUCCUGAAGUAUUAUUUUUCCCACCUAUAAUUAAGCCGGGCCUUUAGAAGUGUCAAUCUUAUGGACAAAUAACUCUUAAUUGCUCGACAUAAAAAUGCAAAAAAAUGAAAAAGUAGGAAAGAGGGGAAAAAGGCAUUUGGCUAAGAGCCCCUGUGGAAACCAAACAAAAGAAUCUAAUUGCCAUUAGGGUAUUGUGAUUGUGCAGAAACACUCUAUUAGUAUUCAAACACAGUGGGAGAAAAGAAACUUCUAGAUGGCAUACAAAGUAGUGUGUGUGUGUGUGUGUGUGUGUGUGUGUGUGUGUGUGUGUGAGAGAGCAUGUUUUUCUCUGAAAUAUGGGAGGAGAUUUCCUAUGUGGCAUUAUGUCGACAUCCAUGACCAAUUAAUCUGCCUUACAUCAAGUCUCUACUCGCAGAUGGAUCCUUUAUUAAAACCAUUUUCUAAUCAACCAUCGGCACCUGCUAAUUUUUGUUUCAUAUUUUGGUAAACAAAUCUUGGUUGACUGGAACCAAUCCACGUUUAAUCAUUUGUUUACAAUUCGCCGACCAUACUAAGUGCUUUUUCUCCACCAACGAUAGUCCCUUAAGUGUACCCGACCAGGGCUCGUAAAUGGGCACGCACGUGCAUGUGCACAGUCACACGGUAACACAGGCGAGCAGACACAUGUGCAAAAUGCCAGCUCGGAUGUGCGACUCUUUCAGGUCUCAUUAUAGGUCGCCCUGCUGUCGCACGGUCGCACCUCCGCAGCCGCAACAAAGGGCGAGCUAAACAGACAAGUUUCCAAAUACUAAAUAGACCCCAGCAUUGUGUCGGCCACGCCUGGCAGAGAGAGAGGGAGAGAGAUGUUACAUGUCACCCAGAUCAAUGGCGGCCAUUGUCUCCCCCUGUCUGGCAGAGGUAUAACACCUCUCCGUGCACUUAAGCCGCGACCACUGCAGUGCGCUAAGGGAGUGCACGGGUAUGGAUUGCCUCGUGUCCCCGAUGCGAUCGGUGCUAUCGAUCGCCCUAAUGCCGGACUGCAGAGGAAGGCGCGGGCCUGAGGAAAGGCGGCGAGAGGAGGAGAAGGAGGGAGGAGGGAGAGAGCCAGAGAGCCAGAGGGAGAGAGAGUGCUGCAGGAAUGUGUCCCCAGGGAGCCCGUCUUGGGCUGGGGCAGGGCUUCAGGAAUGCUCCCCAGGAGACCCCAGUGAAGGCUGGGGCAGGGCUGGAAGAAUGCUCCUCUGGAGGGUUGAGAGAGUGGAGGCUGGCUGGGGUAGGGCCGCAGGAAAAAAUGUCCUCCAUUCCCCCCCACCUACCCCAAGAGGUCUCUCUCUCUCUCUCUCUCUCUCUUUCUCUCUCCCUCCGCCUCUCCCCUCCUUCUCUCGUCUAAGGCGGACGAUGUGGAGAGACUCUGGGGGUGGGUGGAGAGAGUGAGAGACUUCUGGGUGACCGGGUGCAUGCACCACCACCACCACCACCACCCCCACCCCCACCCCCUCCCUGCGGCUCCAGGAUGGCGGAGGAUCAGGUUUCCGUGUGGGGAUCAUCAUCCUGCCGACAGGGCUCUGGGCUGCCCUGGGGAGCAGGCCAGAGUGUCGGCCAGGCAGCCCAGCUCCAAGCGCUGCGCCUUAAAGCGCACAACCGCUUCUCAAAUGCUGCUGUACUGUAGUUUAUCGUCCGGCCCCGGUCCGGUAUCGUUACCCAUCCUUGGCAGACUUUGGGGGCUGGGAGGGGGGGGGGGGGGGGGUGUACAGUGUCUGUUUUUUGUGUGUUUUGAAUCUGGAAUAUGGGGGAAAAGAUGGGAGCGUGUGCACGAGACAACGGGAUUGGAAGUCUAGAGGAAGAGAGGGAGGACUAAUUCGAGGCACGCCGGCCCCUCAGAAAGAUCCAGGCCCCCAGUUCAUUUCCUCUUCUCUUUACCGACGGACCCACAUAGUAAAUAAAAAGAACACCUCCGGCUCCCAAUUUAAUUCAACAGCCCCGUAUUUUCUGUGACGGUUUUCACUGUCGGUCGCCAGCUGUCGAUGCAUUUGAAUAGUACACACACACACACACACACACACACACACACACACACACACACACACACACACACACACACACACACACACACA
Long non-coding RNA from Gadus macrocephalus (Pacific cod), 5768 nucleotides. RefSeq lists it as uncharacterized. Lineage: Eukaryota; Metazoa; Chordata; Actinopteri; Gadiformes; Gadidae. The record is from RefSeq and is a predicted model, not a curated record. The transcript is spliced from 2 exons.